UAGUCGAUAGCUCGGUGGCAGAGCAGUGGAAUGGUACCCCACAGGCCCCGGGUUCGACGCUCGGUCGAAAAA
Molecule: non-coding RNA, 72 nt
Organism: Phthorimaea operculella (potato tuberworm)
Lineage: Eukaryota; Metazoa; Arthropoda; Insecta; Lepidoptera; Gelechiidae
Source: the annotation of a GenBank genome assembly